CCCGCACAAGCGGUGGAGCAUGUGGUUUAAUUCGAUGAUACGCGAGGAACCUUACCUGGGCUCAAAUGUAUGUUGACGUAUUCUGAAAGGGAUACUUCUUCGGACAAUAUACAAGGUGCUGCAUGGUUGUCGUCAGCUCGUGCCGUGAGGUGUCGGGUUAAGUCCCAUAACGAGCGCAACCCCUAUCAUUAGUUGCCAUCAGGUCAAGCUGGGGACUCUAAUGAAACUGCCUACGCAAGUAGUGAGGAAGGUGGGGAUGACGUCAAAUCAGCACGGCCCUUACGUCCAGGGCUACACACGUGCUACAAUGGCCGGUACAAAGGGCAGCUACCUGGUGACAGGAUGCUAAUCUCAAAAGCCGGUCUCAGUUCGGAUCGGAGUCUGCAACCCGACUCCGUGAGGCUGGAAUCGCUAGUAAUCGCGCAUCAGCCAUGGCGCGGUGAAUACGUUCCCGGGCCUU
This 460-nucleotide ribosomal RNA is filed under the name uncultured Sphingobacteriales bacterium. RNAcentral describes it as "bacterial SSU rRNA". It matches the Rfam family "Bacterial small subunit ribosomal RNA", at positions 920 to 1382 of the family's 1533-position model. Lineage: Bacteria; Pseudomonadati; Bacteroidota; Sphingobacteriia; Sphingobacteriales. The record is from RNAcentral.